GGAUGUAACAUUUUCUCGUGCUUGGGCGAGAGUAGUACUAGGAUGGGUGACCUCCUGGGAAGUCCUCGUGUUGCAUCCC
RNAcentral lists this ribosomal RNA (79 nucleotides) under Oryza sativa Indica Group (long-grained rice). Lineage: Eukaryota; Viridiplantae; Streptophyta; Magnoliopsida; Poales; Poaceae. The record is from RNAcentral.